This 148-nucleotide non-coding RNA is filed under the name Chlorocebus sabaeus (green monkey). The record is from Rfam by way of RNAcentral. Lineage: Eukaryota; Metazoa; Chordata; Mammalia; Primates; Cercopithecidae.
GCCAGGUGUGGUGGCGUGCACCUAUAAUCCCAGCUACCUGGGAGGCUGAGGUGGGAGGAUUGCCUGAGCCCAGGAGUUGGAGGGGGCAGUGAGCCAUGAUUGUAUCACUGCACUCUAGCCUGGGCAACAGAGUGAGACCCUGUCUCAA